GGCUGUGUAGUGUAGUGGUUUAGCACAUGGGAUUUUGACGAAUCCAAUCUUCCCAUAACCGCGGUUCGAAUCCGCGCACGGUCA
Molecule: transfer RNA, 84 nt
Organism: Exidia glandulosa HHB12029
Lineage: Eukaryota; Fungi; Basidiomycota; Agaricomycetes; Auriculariales; Exidiaceae
Rfam family: tRNA
About the family: Transfer RNA (tRNA) molecules are approximately 80 nucleotides in length.
Source: Rfam